This 2607-nucleotide long non-coding RNA is filed under the name Androctonus crassicauda. The record is from RNAcentral. Lineage: Eukaryota; Metazoa; Arthropoda; Arachnida; Scorpiones; Buthidae.
UGAAAUGAGGCCAUGAAGGCUGGUUGCUAGAUAUUUGGGCUUCUUCACCUGCAAAAAAAACAAACAGUCAAUAAGUGGUCAGCUAUAGAACUUGAUUAGGCCAAAACCCAUGGAUCAAUAUCUUUUACCUGACCAAGUUGGGUCCAAUUUUAGUGAAAACCUAGGAAUAACUUAUGAUUGGUAAUGAUAUGGAUCAAGAAAUCUAUUUAAAUAGCUGAGUGAAGUAUUGCCAAGGUAAUCCACUAAUACUUCCUUUUAAUUUUGAAUCGGUUAAGUCAAGAAAAAAGAAAGUAAAAGAAAAUGAAAAAAACAAUUGAAAUGAAGAAAUCAUAGUCAAUUCCGAGAUGGCACUUUGAAAUAAAAAUGAAAACAUUCGUAAUGAGAAUAUAAAAAUGUCACAUUGCCCAUUAAGUGAUUAACUUAGCUUUUCUAUUUAUAUUCCCCAUCUUUUGGCCACACUACAGAUGGUCUGAAAUUUGUUUUUUGAGUAAAACUUAAUAUAUUUACCAACACUCAAACAUAAUUUAAAUGUGAUUGUUGAAAUGGGUAGGGAAGAUGACUAUCAAUCAUUGGAUGUAUUUUUUACCUAAACAAAAACUGGAAAUGGAUUACUACUACUAAAAUUUUAAGAACAUUUUUAUUAUUAAUUUAGCAGACUGAUUCAUGCAUUAUUAGCCAAAUCAAUAAUUAAGUGGAAACUGGAAGAAAAAUCUCAUUUUUGGCAAGUAUAAUGGGGAUAACUGGAAAUGAGCCAAGUUUCACAGAGACUGCCUUUCUUCUCUUCCUAUCCCACUAGGUAAGUAGGUCCAUCUUUCUGAAUGCACACAGUUACAUCAAAAAUAAUAUGGUCUGUUAAAUAAAUUCCAUUUUAUAACAAAUUAUAAUUUAAUCAUCAAUAAAUAUAUAUUCAUUACAAUUGUUUUGACUUAAUAUUGCAGUUAGACAGUCUAUAAAGCAAUCUGAUUCUGUUCUCCUACUUAGGAUGUAGCAAGAUAUACCAGCAAACAAGAUUUUAUUAUUCUUGAUACUUAAAAAAUUUUUAUUAAUUUAGUUUGGGCUGGCUAGGAAAGAAUGAAAUGAUGUUAACUGAGAAACCAGAAUCGACUAUAUUAGAUUGGUGGUAGAAAUCUGUGGUUAACAAAUUUAUUUUUAUAAUUAUUUUACAUUAUCUUUGGUUACAGGCAAUGUAUAAAUUUAUUUUUUGUUUUAUUUCUAUUGCUAAUAGCACAUGAUAGAGAAAUGAUCAUGGAUGGCAGCUGGUGUUAAGUUAGUUUUACUUAAACUGUUAUAUCACACACUGGAUAUAUCAUAUCUCAAGUUGGCCACUUUUACUCAAGUCCGCACCAUCACUGGCUGGCCCACAACUGUGAUGGGGCAAACUGAAGGUUCAAGAAUAAGGUUCAAUAGAUCGGGUCUAAACCCCUCCCAAAAAAUUGGAGAUAUGGGAUCCAAUUCUCCAAGAUAAGAAUUGUUUUAUUACAAGGCCUUCCAGCCAACACAACCACAGGGGUUAAAAUAUUUUAUUGGCCAUAAAAAAUUUACCAUUUUUACGCAAUUAUCAUACCACAUUUGUGGUGCAAGCUAAAUUAAACAGAUCAGACAAUAUCAUCUUUAGCCUAUAUGGUUAAAUACAUACCGUAAUUAAGGAUAUUUAUUAAGAUACUUUUGGAAAGUCAGACCACGGCUCUAUUCACCACUUAUCAUUUCAUCUGAUGAAGUAUUAAUCCAGAUCUAGUACUGAGCCAUGGAAAUUUCUCCUUGGAGAUUAUUUCUGGAUUACAGCUCAUUCGCAACCCAUUACAUCUAUUAAACAGGAUGACCCACGGUGACCGAAGCAUCCAUAUCCACCAGACUUAAUAUCUAUUAGUUAGCCGGUCACUUGGAAUUGUUAUAAUUUACCUGAAGCAGGCAAAGUAAGUGAGUUGGGUUCCACAUAGUCAGAAGAGUCAGAGUUGUUGGCUUCCUUUCUGAUGGUCUUAUAUGAUAACCUCCUGACAAAAUCGUUUGCCUCUUGAUGGCUAGAGUCCAGGCUGGUCGAGGAGGAGGAAGGGGAGCAGUGUCUGGCCUCUGGUCUCAGAUGACUUGUCCCGCAGUUUCUUUUCUCUGCAAAACCUGUGGACAUUAAUACCUGCAUUAAUUAUAAUUAACUUAAAUCAAGUGCUUGUAACAUAACUUAAUAAAUCCAAAUACCUAAUAUUGUCUCCACGAUAUGAUUCUGCCCUGAUUUUUGCCUAAAUCAUCUUAGUAUAGGAUUAUUCUCGAGUCAAAGAAAUAACUUACUGUAACUCUGUUUGACCUGCCCCCUCUUCGUUUUUCUUAGAUAUUAGAUGGGAUAUCACCUAGGCACACAUGAAAAUACAAGAAAUACUCUAAUCUAACUAAUACUACAGGAUAUGACUACAUUCUUUGUUAGGGGGAAACAAUAUCUGGAAUCACAUUAUAUCUUUAGGCCUACUUCUUGAUGCUACAACACUAUUAAUGGUUUAUACAUUUUAGAUCUGAGUGAAUCUUGCUAGGCAAAGAGAAAUUAAGUAGAUUUGAUAUUAAGACCCCUCAUCAGAGAUAAUCUACUAUGGCUCAAGCUGACGGCACCUAACUUCUAGUGAG